CUGCAGUCCAUGGACCCAGUCUUCAGUGUCUUCUGUUGCUGCUUUGGCAGGUGUUUCGGUGUCCCCUCCUUCAGUAAUGGCAAGGGUUGGGUUUGGUGUGGGGUUGGGGUCCAUGGGUGUUAGGUAUUUACUGUGGGUUGGUGUGGCCAUUAGUUUGCCCAAACUGCCAUUCAUUGUGAUGUAGGUGAAAUAGCUGCGCAGGCAGGGGGGGUUUGACGGAGUAAGUGUGAUGGAAAUGUUGGGUGGAUGCAGCUGGGUUACAAUUAAAUAGUGGGAGGUAUUAAUGACCAGGAGUAAAUGACUGUGAUGAAGUGGCGGGAGUUAUUGGCGGCAGUUGUUGGGUCCAAUUUUAGGCGGAAGUUAUUGGCGGGAGUUGUUGGGCAACACGUUUGACUUGGGCUGUGCGUAAUUGGGUAUAUAACUAUUCUUUACCAUUGGUUGGUGGUUGUUGUAUGGGACCCUUAUUGAAUUUGCAAUUUAU
RNAcentral lists this long non-coding RNA (481 nucleotides) under Prunus persica (peach). Its description in RNAcentral is "long non-coding RNA (PPER_LNC000789)". The record is from RNAcentral. Lineage: Eukaryota; Viridiplantae; Streptophyta; Magnoliopsida; Rosales; Rosaceae.